AACGAACGCUGGCGGCAUGCCUAACACAUGCAAGUCGAACGAGACCUUCGGGUCUAGUGGCGCACGGGUGCGUAACGCGUGGGAACCUGCCCUUAGGUUCGGAAUAACUCCCCGAAAUGGGUGCUAAUACCGGAUAAUGUCUUCGGACCAAAGAUUUAUCGCCUUUGGAUGGGCCCGCGUUGGAUUAGCUAGUUGGUAGGGUAAAAGCCUACCAAGGCGACGAUCCAUAGCUGGUCUGAGAGGAUGAUCAGCCACACUGGGACUGAGACACGGCCCAGACUACUACGGGAGGCAGCAGUGGGGAAUAUAGGAAAAUGGGCGAAAGCAUGAUCCAGCAAUGCCGCGUGAGUGAUGAAGGCCUUAGGGUUGUAAAGCUCUUUUACCCGGGAUGAUAAUGACAGUACCGGGAGAAUAAGCUCCGGCUAACUCCGUG
This 433-nucleotide ribosomal RNA is filed under the name uncultured bacterium. RNAcentral's name for it is "partial 16S ribosomal RNA". It matches the Rfam family "Bacterial small subunit ribosomal RNA", at positions 29 to 507 of the family's 1533-position model. The record is from RNAcentral.